ACAAUAGGCAAGUUCCUCCUGGAUCCUGAGACACCCUGGGGCCAGGGACAGAGCGUGUUGCUGGGUCUCUGGCACCCAGUAAGGUUGGAUAGCUACACCAUGGGACCAGUCUGGGGACUGGGUCUCUCUGUCCCUGCAAUGCCAUGGUAACUGCCAUCCUGCCUGAUUGAUCUUUCCAGGAGAACUCUGGUAGGAAAGACGUGACCAGGAGAUCCAGCACCUCCAGGGGGUGGGGAGGCCAGGAUAUCUCCCCACAACACAACCAAAAACCUUGUUGGGAUGAAGGGCCACCCUAGGUCCAGAACUCCCUAGGUCUGUGGGAGAGCGGGCCCUUCCACAGAUGCAUCCUCCCUGCCCAGCCCUCUUCUCCUACCUUGUUCCCAGUGCACCGAGAGCUGAGGAUCGGCACAGCCCCAUGGGUCACCCAACCACAGGAGUGUUCACCACAAACCAAGCUCCUCACGAGCUGGCAGUCAAUUUGUGGGACAGGAUGGUCCUCGAAUUGAGGGGUGGAACUGGUGAUGCAGGCCCUCAGAGGGAGGUCUAACCCCAGAACCAGGCUCAGGAUAGGGCUGAACCUCUGUACAGAGGCAAUGUCAUCAGAAAGCCAGGAAGAGCCCAGCUCUGGCAUUUUGGCUGGCAUGGGAGGGUGGUGAGUGUGCCCUGACAUGGGGGAGAGAUUGGCUGGCUUCCCAGCAAGGCUGCAGCACAGGUAGCCUCAAAGCACAGCCCAAACCUCUGGUUUUCUCUCCAAAAAGCCCUGCCAGCUUAGAGCAGAUGAAGAAUCACGUGUCUGACCACAGGCAGGCGGGCUUUCUCUCAAGCUCCCUGAAUGGGGCUGUGUGGAUUUAAGGGGGCAGCCCCCAGGCCCCUGCACUGUAAUCACCUCAUCCAAGCCACUCGGAUGCCAUGUCAUCAGUGGGGCCCCCUCCACCCCAGUGUUUCAUGAAGAGUGUUGCCGCACAGCCCCUGGCCUCCAACCCUCCUGCUCAGCCUCCCCCAUGACCACCCAUCCACAGGGCCGCCUUCAAGGAUGAUGGUAGCAUCGCUUGCCAUCACUUCUGAGGCUCCGCUGGCAUCCUUAGGUAUUGGGGUAACGUUGGGCCAGAGUGCUGGGUACCCAGGAGCCCUCCUUCAUGGGAGGACUUUGCAGGAUAUGAGAGAGUCUGCGGUCUCGGGGGUUUGCUAGCAGGCAGCCCUCGGACACGGCAACGUGAGCCAGAGCCAGAGACCCAGAUCCCAGGGGGCUGACAGACGGCUCUGUGCAGGCGGUCGGGCAGGGCUGGGCCCUAUUAUGUGGAGGAGCGGGGCCGAGCUGGCAUGUUGUCAUUCUAACCUGUGCAAAUCAGCAGGCUUAAUUGCUCCUGUCCUUUCAAGAUGACUCUCCACCAACAAUCUCAUUAUCACACACACAUUUAGUCCCGGUUUCCAGGGCUCUUCAUGCAGGAAGGGAGCAAGAGUAUGAUGUUAACCAACAGCAUUGUUUGUCCUCCUCCGCCCCUCACCGCCUCGGGAGCCGCUGGAGGCUGGGAAGCUGGGAGAGCCCAUCGCACUGAGGUGGGCAGCUGGGCAAGGAAGAGGCCUGGCUGGGCCAGAAGCCCCCAGCUCUGUCACACUCAGUGGCGGCUGGGCCUGAGCAGGAAAGAGGACCCCAGCCAGACAGAGGCCCCCCAGCUACAGGACAAGGCCCCAUCGGCCAACAUAGGUGUCUACCUCUAAGAUGCUGCCUGAAGUAGGAUCCCAUCCCCGGGACCAUCCCCACGUGGUCCUGCCUGCCAGGACCCUGCAUGCAGGAGGGGCUCAUGCAAAGAGCAGGGUGCCUGGGAGGGGAGGUAGGGCACUGAACAAGCGCCUAUAGUGCUCCAGGUUGUAUGCUGUGUGCUUGACACAGUUACCUCACUUGAUCCCCAGAACAGUCUGUUCUAGAACAAAACUGUCCAAUGGGAAUGAAACAAGAACAGCAAAUUCAAGCCACAUGUGUGAUGCAAAAUGUUCUAGGAGUCAUGAGAGAAAAAGUGAUAUCAAUUUUUCUAAUGUAUUCUAUUGAGCCUAGUAUACCCAAAAUAUUAUCGUUUCAACUCAUAAUCAAUAUUUUUAAAGCAUUGAGAUAUUUUCUUCUUUUUUAAAAAACUUGGUUUGAAUAAUCUACAUUUCAAGUGGUCACUUGCUGAGAGGCUCAUGGCUGUCAAAUCAGACCAACAGUGGGCUAUGGGCUCAGGGGUUUCUGGGCUGUGACCUCAGGUAUCAUUUUUUAUCACAAUGUUAUCUAAUAUAUCUCACUCACAUGAGGCCAGGAUUAACCUCUUUAAUCCAUAUAACCACCUUGUGUGAUAAUAAUAGGAUCUAUUAUUAUCAUCGAUCUCACUUAACAGAUAGGGAAACUGAGCACAAAAGCAGCAGAAACACACCCAAAGGCCACAGGGCUAGUGAAUAAAACCUCUGGGUAGGGACAAAGGUGGCCUGGUUCACGAUCUGCAGCUUAACCAGACUUGGACAAAGCAGGUGUUCAAUCGGUAUUUGAAGGAUAGAGGACUAAGAGGGAUAGUUACUCUCCAUUCACUGAUGGAAUUGAGGCCCAGAGAAGUUAAGUGAAUUUCAUAAUGUCACACAGCUAGAAGACAUCCAAGUCAUUGUAAAACUAGGUGUGUCAAAGGGUUUUUCACAGGAAGAGUGGAUUGUUUCUGGCCUGUUUUACCUAGUGGCCAGUUUUUAGAGCUGAAAUUGGCACACAUCGAGAUGAAGGAGGAAUUUCUAACCAGGAGAACAGGAUGGAAGGAGAAGAGGACAGAUCCAUUCCAGCAUGUGCAGGGGCUAAGGUGGGGACACACAGGUAGUGGCGACAACCAGAGGGCCUGGAAGUGAUCAGAAGGAGAGAGUGAAAGCCCUCUGCCCUCAGGGAGGCUCUACUGCCUCUAACCCAGCUCAGGGCCACCUCAGCCAGACUCCAGGGGGAAAGGAUGCUCUUGGUCCCCUUUCUAUACGAUUUCCCAUCCUGGGCUCACCCCUCCCAGUCCCUCCAGGCUCCUCCAGCCCUCAGGGAAGAUCUGGUGACUUAAACCAGGGAUUGCACUGGGACGUCACAGCUAGAAACCCACCAUCACCCAGGGAAUGGAAGGGAAGGCUCUGGCCAGCAGGUCAGAAUCAGCGCCAGCUGUGAGUGUGGAAGUCAAGGCAGCAGAUUCAUGCCUCAAGGCUGCUGCCCCUGGGCCUCCUGGUGCCUGGGAGGAGUCUGGGAUGAGCUGCAACAACCUCACCUGAAUUUCUGUGGCUCAUCUAGCAGGUAGAAACCCAUCUGGUAGAGCUCUUGCUGUGGCCCCUGGAGGUGGGAGCAGCCCCGCCCGAGAAUGGAGGGAAUCUGGGAGGGGAGAGCCUCCCUCUUCUGUUCUCUCUUUCCUUCUUCCUCUCCCCCUCCCUCCCUUCUUCACCUACUUUAGAAAAAGAUUGAAAGCAUGAAAAGCUCAUUCCUUACCCAUCCCCAUACAACUCAGCUAUUGGCUUUAAGAUCUGCUAAAAUGUUUCCCAGACCUAGAAUUCAGAUCUUAAUGUUGUUAUUCGUACACGGAAGAGAAACUGUAGGCAUAUUUUCUGUUUAUUAAAAAAAUCAUGUGUAAAAUGGCAUUUUUGGUUGCACAACUCUCCUGGUAUAUUAUUUAUUACGAAGGAAAAUUAUCGUGCUAAGAAAAUAGUGUCACUUAAAAAUUAGGUGGUUCCCAAUCAACUUGUGACAGUAAUUGCUGCAAUGUCCUCUUUGAUUUAGAUAUAGUAAUAUCAAUGUAAUUGCCACUGGGAAAAAAUUAUAAUGGCUGUUAAUGAUAACUAACACAUAAAUGGCAAUGAACAGGAACAUGUAUUUUAUAUCGGAUUCAACCCUAGAGCAGCAGUAAGAAACCCAGUGGUUUCAACAAUCUGGCACUGGUCCCUCAAGGAACCAAGCCCCCCCAGCUCUCCCAUGUAAAUGAGGGGGUGGAGGAUUAUGGGGCAUGCAGGGGCGUCUUCAGCCUCUCCCAGACUCCAUAAUGGGGAUUCCCCCAGCCCUCCCAAGGCAAAGGUAGGGCGGCACCAGAGAAGCCAAUGGCCCAGAGCCUGUCUCUCCCGCAGGGCUGGGAAAGGCGCUAUGAAUGUUCAUUCGGAGGUCAUUCAGUGCCUUUGCUCAUUCCCUGCCUCACUCAACUGUGUGCUAGGCUCUGUGCUGAACUAGGAUGCAAAACCCAAAACGCGGGCUCUUUCCCCCAACUAUAAACUCUAGCACUGCAUUGGUUUUGUAAUAUCUGGAUUCCCCUCCCAUCCCAGCCCAGCAAGGUUUAUAGAAUGAAAGUGUUCACCACAAAGUGGGUGAUGGACAAGACAAGUGGUCCUCAUUGUCCAUUGUCCCCUGACGGGCAUGGAGCCCACAUGAACCACGGGCAUAUCCACUGAAGGUACAGGCUUUCUACUAGGAAAGAGCAUUAUGUUAGUUAUUAGAUGAAUUACCUGGAUGACAUUUGAGCUGAGUCUUUUGCCCACUUAACUUAUUAUUGCCCAUUGUCACUUAGUGAAGGUGACACCUGGGCAAGAGCAGCUCCAGGCAGGAGAUGGUGCAGUAAAAUGAGGGCUAGGAAGGGACCCACUAAAGCCAAGGUGGGUUUGGGGAACCAUAUGCUAGUCUAGACUCUGUCCCAACCCCUGAACACAGGCAAGUCACUUGGCCUCAACAAUAGCAAAGGAGGGCUUAGGCUGCACAGGUGGGUCCAAAAUGUGCUAUGGAUCCAGCUUUACAAUGUGUGUCCCCAUUAAGGCCCCACUCGGAGAGAUUCUAGUUAUGUAGUUCUGAGGGAUCUGACUGUGUAUUUAUGAAGCUCCUUGGGAAAUUCUAAUGAUGAUGAUGAUGUUGAUGUUGAUAUUGAUGAUGACUACAGUUCACUUAAUGAGGGCAAAGUACUAUACUAACUGUUCACUCAGACCUCAUUGUACUCUCAAAACUAACAUGUUAGGUGGUUUCUAAUAGUCAUUCCAUUUUUCAGAUGUGGAUAGGCACAGAGGCUAAGUAACUUGUCAAAAGUUGCACAGUAAGUGUUGAAGCCAAGUUUAGGGUUAGCCAGUUGACUCCAGAGCCCACACUGCUGAUCUAUAUAACAUUCAUAUGUGCUGCUGAUGGGAUUUUAUGUUUGGAACCUUGGCCUAGAUAACCUACAAAGUCCCAUUUGACAUAAUAGCCUAUGAUGAUGUGAUGUUUGAUGGAAAUAACAGGCACAGAAAUGUCCUAAGUAUGGAGAGAGGUCAAGGCUCUAUCUGGGGCAUAGUAGUUGGCAGUCCUGGGCAGCAAGAGACCACCUGGGGGCACCUAUGGAAAUGAGACAGGUGAGACUUCUGUUCCCCAUACUCUAGGUACUGGUAACAACCCUCUCUCACUGCAAGCAAUUGAAAGGAUUGGAUAAACAUCAAAAAUCUUAAAAUCAUGAAGAGGUGACAAAGCAGUUUAAAAAACAUGAGGCCGAAAUCUAAGAGGAAGGGGAAACACAGAGAAGGAGGUGGAGCACUGAAGCCACUUCUACUGUGAAGGAAAUUGCCAAGAAUGGGACCCCUGAGCUUCAGUUUCCACAGCUUUGCAAGAUGCUUGGGACAAAAGCUUAAGCCCUGGGCCAUCCAAAGUGAUGAGCCUUGAUGCUGAGCAUAGAAAGGGAAAAGAAAAAAGUCCUUAACAAUUGUAAUCACAAGGCCACUCUUGUUAGGAUUUAUAAGUCAAAUUCACAUGAUCUGGUUAGUCAAAUACAAUGAACAAACAAAAAACCUCAAACCCAUGAAUUUAGUGCAAUGUGGACCCAACAGAUAGUGCACCAAAAGUGUCAGGAAGAAACAAACAUAAAUUCUCUCCGAAGGAAUACAUUUUCAUCUUAUGCCUCAAAGAAUUCUCACAAGGAAAAUGAACAGACACAAUUAAAUAUACUCAAUUAAAAAAAAAACAUGCUAUGAACCAGAAAAAGCAGAAAUGGAGUUCCCAUUGUGGCUCAGUGGUUAACAAACCCAACUAGUAACCAUGAGGUUUCAGGUUCAAUCCCUGGCUUUGCUCAGUGGGUUAAGGAUCCAGCAUUGCUGUGAGCUGUGGCGUAGGUUGCAGAUGUGGCUUGGAUCCCAUAUUGCUGUGGCUGUGGCACAGGCCAGCAGCUACAGCUCUGAUUAUACCCCUAUCCUCGGAACCUCCAUAUGCCACAGGUGUGGCCCUAAAAAAGACAAAAAG
Molecule: long non-coding RNA, 6214 nt
Filed under: Sus scrofa (pig)
Lineage: Eukaryota; Metazoa; Chordata; Mammalia; Artiodactyla; Suidae
Description: lncRNA (ENSSSCG00000054425.1)
Source: RNAcentral